Molecule: long non-coding RNA, 1056 nt
Organism: Pyrus x bretschneideri (Chinese white pear)
Lineage: Eukaryota; Viridiplantae; Streptophyta; Magnoliopsida; Rosales; Rosaceae
Exons: 4
Source: RefSeq, a predicted model, not a curated record
GGAUGGCUCAAGCCAUGUAUUGUCCUUUGAGAAGUUGGGGUUGGGAAGCAAUACAUCCAAUUUUCUUUCACUUUAUCCUUUUCUUGUGAAAGAGAAUACCCAAUGGUUCGUAAGCAAAACAUCCAAAUCUUUUUCACUUUUUUUUUCUUGUUAAAGAGAAUACAAAAUGGGUUCGAAAGCAAUGUACCCCCAUUCCUUUCACUUUGUCUUUUUCUUGUUGUAAGAGUAUAAAAAUACCUUACUUUAGAAUCACCUCCUCUUGAGGUAAUGCUCGUUAAAUGUAUUUGUUUGCUUCUCUAGUUAUAUUGGUAGAAAACUCUUAUCAACCCUUCCCCAUUGAAAUUAUCUGCUCAUAUAUUUGCAUUGCUGAGGUAGCAUAAUCUGUCCUUCUUGUGCAUGAUACCAUUCAACAUUCAUAUUUUCUAGCAAAUUCGUGAAACACCAACACCAGUACCAGGCACAUGAGUUGUUGUUGAAUAAGGCAUAGAUUUCAGAAUUUCACUUUUACUUUGCCAAACUGUUGCAUUGGGUUGAUUUACAAUACAGAAAAUUCGUGAAGCACCAGGUCCAGUACCAAACAUAUUGUUGUUGAACAAGGCAUAGAUUUCAGAAUUUCAUUUUUUCUCUACCGGAUAGUAGGGUUGAUUUACGAUACAGCAAAUUCGUGAAGCACCACUACCAGUACCAAACAUAUGAUUUGUUGUUGAACAAGGCAUAAAUUUCAGAAUUUCAAUUUUACUCUGCUGGAUAAUUGCAUUGCAUUGGUUUACGAUACAGGCAUUAGAGCACUGAGCGCGAGACUUACAAAAGCUAUCAACAAAGAGGAGCAUUCCAGCCGCAGUCUUUGAUUUCAGAAGGAAAUGGCUACGGACAUUAUAAUUGCAAUUGGCUCAAAAAUUGGAGAGUGCUUGGUCACACCAAUAGGAACAGAGUUUGGCUAUUUGUUUAAUUACCAUUCCAACCUUGAAAGUCUUAGGGGUGAGAUAAAAAAGCUUUUUGACAAGAAAGAUGGAGUGCAGAAAUUGGUAGAUGCUGCCAAAAGGAACGGUAAAAUCA